UCCGUAGGCGGGCGUCUAAGUCAGUGGUGAAAUCUUACAGCUCAACUGUAAAAUUGCCAUUGAUACUGUAGACCUUGAAUUAGUGUGAAGUGGUUAGAAUGUGUAGUGUAGCGGUGAAAUGCAUAGAUAUUACACAGAAUACCAAUUGCGAAGGCAGAUCACUAACACUAUAUUGACGCUGAGGGACGAAAGCGUGGGGAGCGAACAGGAUUAGAUACCCUGGUAGUCC
This 229-nucleotide ribosomal RNA is filed under the name uncultured bacterium. RNAcentral's name for it is "partial 16S ribosomal RNA". It matches the Rfam family "Bacterial small subunit ribosomal RNA", at positions 568 to 796 of the family's 1533-position model. The record is from RNAcentral.